Long non-coding RNA from Armigeres subalbatus, 1167 nucleotides. RefSeq lists it as uncharacterized. NCBI's taxonomy places the organism in Eukaryota, Metazoa, Arthropoda, Insecta, Diptera, Culicidae. The transcript is spliced from 3 exons. The record is from RefSeq and is a predicted model, not a curated record.
AAUGGUAACUGUUAUAAUUAUGGUCUGCAAACAGUUGAACAGUUGUUCAUGUUCGAGUAAUGUAAGUGAACUUAUUCAUACCAUAACAGCUGUUGUACCUUGAGCUGGCCGGACUUGAAAAAUUUGUGAUCCAUUUUUUUUCACAUACGACAGUUCGACAGUUUGUUUUCCAAGCGCGGUGGCUGUUCGGAGUGCUGGUGCAACCGAAAUUAGAUUUUUCGCUUGCUUGCCGCGUCUGAUCUUUCGAUCCAGCUAAAGAAACCCCAAGCUGCAGUGAUCCCCACAGAAGAUUCCGCGACUAAAACGAUCGAAGAACAAAUGAUUCCUACUCAAAAUAUACGCAAGAAUGUAAUUGCAUGUUUUGUCAAGAAAAGUGAUUAUAAGGACGAAUGAGCACCUCAUUUAAACACUCGCCGAAUGUUAUUAUUUCGACAAUCAUCAACGAUCAACUACCAGAUCGAUUCUAUUAAAUAUAUUCGAUUUGUCUGCGGAAUGCGUUUCUAGACUAGGCUGGCUGUAUUAGGAUUGCUGUCUUCGUUGACAGCGAGGUUGGUGCGACGAUUGAGGGGAUCAGAAAACAGAAUCCAUUUGUAAUUCUGUUUGACUCUUGAGAAAAUCGGCUACGCGAGCGAUCUGUCGAGGCCAUACGAGGAUCGUGGCUGCUGCAGCAGCCUUGUUAAGUGCACUCAUUUGGAUGUGUUGCAGUACAAGGAGGAGUACGUAGAAGAACCCAACCUUUCCUGAUGUUUUGUGCGCUCUUCACAUUUUGGAGCAUUGAAAAAUAUGUUUUAAUCAAACAGUGACCAAGUUUUGAUGGAUCUCUUUAUAUCAGUUGUGUUUAUCCGACCGGGUGCUGCCCUAAUUCCAUGCCAUCUGUCUGAAAUUCUUUACCGGAUAUCAACCUCUAACGAUUCGAUCGACUUACUGAAUGGUAAAGCAAAGCGUCUGACUCCGCUGCAAACAAAGUAUACAAAAUGCUCCAAAAGGUUCACUGUCGUUCAACGAUCAUCCUCAUGGAAUGUGUAAAGUACGACGGAACGGCACUGUUUACCCGCUUUAGUGGCAGUUUGAAAAAGGCUGAAGGGAGCAUCGCCCACAAAACCGGACAAAAUGCAUGACAAGAAGUACCUAACUUAGUUGUAAUUCAAGAAGCGCAAAAUAUACAUA